CUAUAACAAAACUUACGUGAAGAAGAAAAGAAAAAAUAAUCCGGCGUUACUCUUCACUUGUGAAAAGCUUGAAGUGGUGGAGGAGCUCCUGGCUGGACUGCAGAACAUCAAACUGGGUGAAGGAAAGAGUGAGGAGUGAGCGACGGAUCGGAGAGAGAGAGGUGUUGUCCAGGACCCGAACCAGAAGGGGCCUCUGCAAAGCGUUGCAUAGAAACCAUGCUUAUCCUCACAAGGUUUGCGGGAGUGCUGGAACCAGCUGUCAACGGGCAGGAGGUGGGGUACACCCUGAACUGGUUGCCAGCUAAUCACAAUCAUUAUCAACAAUGAUUGAACGAGAGACCAAAAUUCUCUGAGAAUCCCUAACCCAGUCGCCGCUUGUGAUUCAUACUCUAUAAGCUGUCUUCACUGCGAUGUUUUUGGGACGUCUGCACAGUGAAUGAGAAUACUGGGGAGACGAGACCCAAGGGGGGGUCGCAACAGUGAUGAGCUUUUUACCGUAAUCAUGCGAGAAGCUGGCCGGAAGAGAGGAAACCGCUUUGGGCGGAAGCCAGCGUUGCAGAACAAUAACUUUGCAGAGACGUCAGAGAGCUUCAGCCCCCAAACAGAGACGCUGAUGCACUGUUUUCUUUGGCCUCGUGCUUGAUAAGUGUGUGGACUUAACUGGAUAUGACAGAGGCCGGGUGCAGCAACAAGUCCAUGCCACGCUCUUAGUCAUUUGACGCCGCGAUACCGGCACCACCUGUCUGCCCUUCGUGCUCGGACAUCAUCAAGGGACUUUACCACAUGAAUGAAAUGGGAAACCACUCCAGUGUGUCACAUCAAUUGAAGGGAAAUUAAAAACUGCGUCUUCACUUUUAA
This is a long non-coding RNA of Syngnathoides biaculeatus (alligator pipefish), 858 nucleotides long. RefSeq lists it as uncharacterized. The record is from RefSeq and is a predicted model, not a curated record. The transcript is spliced from 6 exons. NCBI's taxonomy places the organism in Eukaryota, Metazoa, Chordata, Actinopteri, Syngnathiformes, Syngnathidae.